UACGGAGGGUGCGAGCGUUAAUCGGAAUUACUGGGCGUAAAGCGUGCGCAGGCGGUUUGUUAAGUCUGCUGUGAAAUCCCCCGAGCUCAACUUGGGAAUUGCAGUGGAUACUGGCAAGCUGGAGUACGGUAGAGGAAGGUGGAAUUCCCGGUGUAGCAGUGAAAUGCGUAGAGAUCGGGAGGAACACCAGUGGCGAAGGCGGCCUUCUGGACCAGUACUGACGCUCAUGCACGAAAGCGUGGGGAGCAAACAGG
This 254-nucleotide ribosomal RNA is filed under the name uncultured bacterium. Its description in RNAcentral is "partial 16S ribosomal RNA". It matches the Rfam family "Bacterial small subunit ribosomal RNA", at positions 524 to 776 of the family's 1533-position model. The record is from RNAcentral.